This 313-nucleotide unclassified non-coding RNA is filed under the name uncultured fungus. RNAcentral describes it as "partial contains small subunit ribosomal RNA, internal transcribed spacer 1, and 5.8S ribosomal RNA". The stretch from base 1 to 73 matches the Rfam family "Eukaryotic small subunit ribosomal RNA", at positions 1759 to 1831 of the family's 1831-position model. The record is from RNAcentral. Lineage: Eukaryota; Fungi.
ACAAACUUGGUCAUUUAGAGGAAGUAAAAGUCGUAACAAGGUUUCCGUAGGUGAACCUGCGGAAGGAUCAUUAUCGAGUUAGGGUCUUCUCUGGCCCGACCUCCCAACCCCAUGUUUACAAAACCUCUUGUUGCUUCGGCGCGCCCGUCUCAGGACCGCCGGGGGACUCUAAGAACGUCCCCUGGUCUGCGCCCGCCGGUGGCCAAACUUGUACAAAUUCUGAUCAAAGCGUGUCACCUGUCUGAGUACCAUGAAAUAAAGCAAAACUUUCAACAACGGAUCUCUUGGUUCUGGCAUCGAUGAAGAACGCAGC